RNAcentral lists this ribosomal RNA (355 nucleotides) under Carabus laotse laotse. RNAcentral describes it as "partial 12S ribosomal RNA". The record is from RNAcentral. Lineage: Eukaryota; Metazoa; Arthropoda; Insecta; Coleoptera; Carabidae.
UUUAAAUGUAAAAUAAACAUACUAAAGUAGUAAUAGUUAUGUUCUUGAAAUUUAAAGAUUUUGGCGGUAUUUUAGUCUAUUUAGAGGAGCCUGUUCUAUAAUUGAUAAUCCACGAUUAAUCCUACUUAAUUUAUAUAAAUUUGUAUACCGUCGUUAUAAGAAGAUUUUAAAAGAAUAUAAAUUUUUAAUAUUUUAUAUAAAAAAAUAUAUCAGAUCAAGGUGCAGUUUAUAAUUAAGGAGAAAUGGGCUACAAUAAAUUUAUUUAUACGGAUUAAAAUUAGAAUUUAGUUUUAUGAAGGUGGAUUUAAUAGUAAUAAGAUUAAUUUAAAUCUUAUGAUUUUAGCUCUAAAAUAUG